This 496-nucleotide ribosomal RNA is filed under the name uncultured bacterium. Its description in RNAcentral is "partial 16S ribosomal RNA". It matches the Rfam family "Bacterial small subunit ribosomal RNA", at positions 28 to 523 of the family's 1533-position model. The record is from RNAcentral.
GACGAACGCUGGCGGCAUGCCUAACACAUGCAAGUCGAACGGUAAGGCUUCCUUCGGGGAGUACACGAGUGGCGAACGGGUGAGUAACACGUGGGUAACCUACCCUUGACUGGGGGACAACAGAGGGAAACUUCGGCUAAUACCGCAUAACGUGCAUUGCCUCAAGGUGGUGUACCAAAGCUCCGGCGGUUAAGGAUGGGCCCGCGGCGGAUUAGCUUGUUGGUGAGGUAACGGCUUACAAAGGCUACGAUAGGUAGGGGUCCUGAGAGGGAGAUCCCACGCACUGGUACUGAGACACGGACCAGACUCCUACGGGAGGCAGCAGUGAGAAAUAUUGGGCAAUGGGCGCAAGCCUGAACCAGCCAUGCCGCGUGCAAGAAGACGGUCCUAUGGAUUGUAAACUGCUUUUGUACGGGAAGAAACACUCCCUCGUGAGGGAGCUUGACGGUACCGUAAGAAUAAGGAUCGGCUAACUCCGUGCCAGCAGCCGCCGUAA